Molecule: long non-coding RNA, 1109 nt
Organism: Salvelinus namaycush (lake trout)
Lineage: Eukaryota; Metazoa; Chordata; Actinopteri; Salmoniformes; Salmonidae
Exons: 3
Source: RefSeq, a predicted model, not a curated record
ACCGAGGGUGCACUCAGCAGCAGUGUGCUCAGCCGGACAGGGCCAUUUCAGCUCGCUCUUUCUCUCUCAGGGGUCCUAAUGAGAGAGAGAGACAGAGUAUGAGCGAGAGAGAGAGAGAGCUCUGUUGCAGGCUAAUAUGAGGGCAGCUCUGGGCUCUGCAGUGAGUUAGCUUACCCUUGAGGGAGAUCCAUGGAGAUUAUUAAAUGAUGUUGGAUCUGUCUUAUCUCUGCUAUGUGGCGUUCCCGGGAGAUGGAGAGCUGGUGAUAAGGACGGAUGCUGGAUUCUGGAGAGAUCUUGGGUUUGGAAAGUAUAGGUGGGUUUGACCGCAACACCAAAGGCUGAGGUUUGGAGGAUGUUCACCUGUACAGAAAGUACCUGCACAGCAAGCUGAUGGUGAUUCGCUCUCCCUCCCGAGGCCUCUUCCACCUGUGGUAUGAGAAGCAGUGUGCAGACGAGCUGCCGCCAGACAAGUAUAAGAUGUGUAUGCAGACCAAGGCCAUGAGCGAGGUCUCUCACAGCCACCUGGGGAGCUGUUCUUCCUACAGGAGAUCCAGGAGCAUCUGACACCUGGAGAGGAGAGACAUCCUCUGGGUUUUGUUGAGAGAACAAUGUCUUUCUCCUUCUACAGACUUAACACAGGGCCUGAUGAGGGAGAGUAUAGGGAUGAGACAUGAACUUUGUCAUGACAUGACAGAAACUUGAUUAAAUUAAAAAAAUGGUGAUGUUAUGUAGGCAUACUAACUCAUUGUAUGUCCUCUAUUGCCAUCUUCCUUCCUGUACUGAGUCUGAAAGCAGGGAGGUCAGAAUAAUAUUUUACUGUCUUUGUUGUAUUGAGACUGUCAGCUUCAGAUUAUGCCUGCUAUGGACUCUCAACUCAAUGAAAGUAAUAUUUUUGGCUUUAUAACUGUGUGUGAAUAUGUAUGUCACGGCCGUCGUUAAAGGAAGACCAAAGCGCAGCGUAGUGAGCGGUCAUAUUCCUUUAUAAUUUAGAAAAUGUCGCCAACAAAACAACAAACGAAGAACACAACCGUGACGCUUACAGGGCUAAGUGCCACUAACAAAGAUAACUACCCACACUGAAAGGAGGGAAAAAGGGCUACCUAAGUAUG